GGAAGCAUAGCUCAGUUGGGAGAGCACCUGCCUUACAAGCAGGGGGUCACUGGUUCAAGUCCAGUUGUUUCCA
Molecule: transfer RNA, 73 nt
Organism: Cetobacterium somerae ATCC BAA-474
Lineage: Bacteria; Fusobacteriati; Fusobacteriota; Fusobacteriia; Fusobacteriales; Fusobacteriaceae
Rfam family: tRNA
About the family: Transfer RNA (tRNA) molecules are approximately 80 nucleotides in length. Their secondary structure includes four short double-helical elements and three loops (D, anti-codon, and T loops).
Source: Rfam